GUCCAUGUAGCUCAGCUGGAUAGAGCAUCCGCCUUCUAAGCGGACGGUCAGGGGUUCGAAUCCCUUCAUGGACGCCA
This 77-nucleotide transfer RNA is filed under the name Erysipelotrichaceae bacterium. Its description in RNAcentral is "tRNA-Arg". It matches the Rfam family "tRNA". From Rfam's summary of the family: Transfer RNA (tRNA) molecules are approximately 80 nucleotides in length. Their secondary structure includes four short double-helical elements and three loops (D, anti-codon, and T loops). Lineage: Bacteria; Bacillati; Bacillota; Erysipelotrichia; Erysipelotrichales; Erysipelotrichaceae. The record is from RNAcentral.